UGGGGAAUCUUCCGCAAUGGGCGCAAGCCUGACGGAGCAACGCCGCGUGAGUGAAGAAGGCUUUCGGGUUGUAAAACUCUGUCUUCAGGGAAGAAAGAAAUGACGGUACCUGAGGAGGAAGCCCCGGCUAACUACGUGCCAGCAGCCGCGGUAAAACGUAGGGGGCGAGCGUUGUCCGGAAUUACUGGGCGUAAAGGGCGCGUAGGCGGUUUUUUAAGUCUUAAGGUGAAAACUCCCGGCUUAACCGGGAGCGUGCCUAAGAAACUGGGGAACUUGAGGGCAGGAGAGGGGAGUGGAAUUCCCAGUGUAGCGGUGAAAUGCGUAGAUAUUGGGAGGAACACCAGUGGCGAAGGCGGCUCUCUGGCCUGUUUCUGACGCUGAGGCGCGAGAGCGUGGGGAGCAAACGGGAUUAGAUACCCCGGUAGUCCACGCCGUAAACGAUGGGUGCUAGGUGUAGGAGGUAUCGACCCCUUCUGUGCCGUAGUUAACACAAUAAGCACCCCGCCUGGGGAGUACGGCCGCAAGGUUG
RNAcentral lists this ribosomal RNA (529 nucleotides) under uncultured Clostridia bacterium. Its description in RNAcentral is "bacterial SSU rRNA". It matches the Rfam family "Bacterial small subunit ribosomal RNA", at positions 355 to 896 of the family's 1533-position model. Lineage: Bacteria; Bacillati; Bacillota; Clostridia. The record is from RNAcentral.